CCUACGGGAGGCAGCAGUAGGGAAUCUUCCGCAAUGGACGAAAGUCUGACGGAGCAACGCCGCGUGAGCGAUGAAGGCCUUCGGGUCGUAAAGCUCUGUUGUUAGGGAAGAAUAAGUGCUAGUUGAAUAAGCUGGCACCUUGACGGUACCUAACCAGAAAGCCACGGCUAACUACGUGCCAGCAGCCGCGGUAAUACGUAGGUGGCAAGCGUUGUCCGGGAAUUAUUGGGCGUAAAGCGCGCGCAGGCGGUUUCUUAAGUCUGAUGUGAAAGCCCCCGGCUCAACCGGGGAGGGUCAUUGGAAACUGGGAAACUUGAGUGCAGAAGAGGAAAGUGGAAUUCCAAGUGUAGCGGUGAAAUGCGUAGAGAUUUGGAGGAACACCAGUGGCGAAGGCGACUUUCUGGUCUGUAACUGACGCUGAGGCGCGAAAGCGUGGGGAGCAAACAGGAUUAGAUACCCUGGUAGUCCACGCUGUAAACGAUGAGUGCUAAGUGUUAGAGAGGUUUCCGCCCCUUUUGAGUGCUGAAGUUAACGCAUUAAGCACUCCGCCUGGGGAGUACGGUCGCAAGACUGAAACUCAAAGGAAUUGACGGGGGCCCGCACAAGUGGUGGAGCAUGUGGUUUAAUUCGAAGCAACGCGAAGAACCUUAC
RNAcentral lists this ribosomal RNA (651 nucleotides) under bacterium HZ35-1. Its description in RNAcentral is "bacterial SSU rRNA". It matches the Rfam family "Bacterial small subunit ribosomal RNA", at positions 338 to 974 of the family's 1533-position model. The record is from RNAcentral.